This 254-nucleotide ribosomal RNA is filed under the name uncultured bacterium. RNAcentral's name for it is "partial 16S ribosomal RNA". It matches the Rfam family "Bacterial small subunit ribosomal RNA", at positions 57 to 305 of the family's 1533-position model. The record is from RNAcentral.
GCAAGUCGAACGAGAAAGCAUCUUCGGGUGUGAGUAGAGUGGCGUACGGGUGAGUAACGCGUAGGUAACCUACCUCUUAGCGGGGGAUAACACAGAGAAAUUUGUGCUAAUACCGCAUACGAAGCACGACAUGGAAAAAGUGCUUGAAAGGAUGCUUCGGCAUUCACUAAGAGAUGGGCCUGCGUUGCAUUAGCUUGUUGGUGGGGUAACGGCCUACCAAGGCAGCGAUGCAUAGCUGGUCUGAGAGGAUGAGC